RNAcentral lists this ribosomal RNA (492 nucleotides) under uncultured bacterium. RNAcentral's name for it is "partial 16S ribosomal RNA". It matches the Rfam family "Bacterial small subunit ribosomal RNA", at positions 29 to 507 of the family's 1533-position model. The record is from RNAcentral.
AGUGAACGCUGGCGGUAGGCCUAACACAUGCAAGUCGAACGGCAGCACAGUAAGAGCUUGCUCUUACGGGUGGCGAGUGGCGGGCGGGUGAGGAAUACAUCGGAAUCUACUUUUACGUGGGGGAUAACGUAGGGAAACUUACGCUAAUACCGCAUACGACCUACGGGUGAAAGCAGGGGAUCUUCGGACCUUGCGCGAUUGAAUGAGCCGAUGUCGGAUUAGCUAGUUGGCGGGGUAAAGGCCCACCAAGGCGACGAUCCGUAGCUGGUCUGAGAGGAUGAUCAGCCACACUGGAACUGAGACACGGUCCAGACUCCUACGGGAGGCAGCAGUGGGGAAUAUUGGACAAUGGGCGCAAGCCUGAUCCAGCCAUACCGCGUGGGUGAAGAAGGCCUUCGGGUUGUAAAGCCCUUUUGUUGGGAAAGAAAAGCAGCAGGUUAAUACCCCGCUGUUCUGACGGUACCCAAAGAAUAAGCACCGGCUAACUUCGUG